This 492-nucleotide ribosomal RNA is filed under the name uncultured bacterium. RNAcentral's name for it is "partial 16S ribosomal RNA". It matches the Rfam family "Bacterial small subunit ribosomal RNA", at positions 28 to 507 of the family's 1533-position model. The record is from RNAcentral.
GAUGAACGCUAGCUACAGGCUUAACACAUGCAAGUCGAGGGGCAGCGGUAUCCAAAGCUUGCUUUCGGUAGCCGGCGACCGGCGCACGGGUGGGUAACGCGUAUCGCACCUGCCUCAUACUCGGGAAUAGCCUUGCGCAAGUAAGAUUAAUGCCCGGUGUUUUCCGCGUCCCGCAUGAGGCUUUGUCCAAAGAUUUAUCGGUAUGAGCUGCCGAUGCGUCCCAUUAGCUUGUUGGCGAGGUAACGGCCCCCCACGGCGUCGAUGAGUAGGGGUUCGGAGAGGAGGAUGCCCCACAGGGGAACUGGGACCCGGGCCAAUGUGCUACGGGAGAGAGCAGUGAGGAAGACUGGACAAGGGGCGAAAGCCUGAUCCAGCCAAGUAGCGUGCAGGAAGACGGCCCUCGGGGUUGUGAACUGCUGUUAGUAGGGAAUAAAAGGGGGCGAGGGAGCCCCCGUGCAGGUACCAGCAGAAAAAGGACCGGCUAAUUACGUG